UCAGACGAUGCGUCAUGCAUAUCAAUAAGCGGAGGAAAAGAAACUAACAAGGAUUCCCUUAGUAACGGCGAGUGAAGCGGGAAGAGCUCAAAUUUGAAAUCUUCAAGGUUUUACCUUGACGAAUUGUAGUUUAAAGAAGCGUUUUCUGCUGAAGUUUUGGUAAAAGUUCUUUGGAAUAGGACAUCAUAGAGGGUGAGAAUCCCGUAUUUGACCAUUAUUUUCAGCUUUGUUGAUACACUUUCAAAGAGUCGGAUUGUUUGGGAAUGCAGUCCAAAAUGGGUGGUAAAUUUCAUCUAAAGCUAAAUAUUGGCGAGAGACCGAUAGCGAACAAGUACCGUGAGGGAAAGAUGAAAAGAACUUUGAAAAGAGAGUUAAAUAGUACGUGAAAUUGUCAAAAGGGAAGCGUUUAACACCAGUGUUGUUUUCUGAAAAUCAACCUCUGUUAGCUUUAUGCAUGUUUGUUUAGACCUAAUCAGCUAUCUUGCAUGUUCUAUUUGUUUGCAGUGGUGCACUUUUCAGUUUACAGGUCAACAUCAGUUUUUUUUUACCGUAAAAAAGUUAAAGAAAGGUAGCUCAUGGCUCCGGUCGUGAGUGUUAUAGUCUUUUUCCUAUGCGGUAGGAGAGACUGAGGUCUGCAGUGUAGGCUAUUUGGCUAGAUACUCAGGUGCUAUGUGAUACCAUUUCAUAAACAACUUGUUGAUUAUGUUUUGUCUAUUGCAUACUCGCUUGUACUAUCAUACCUACGCUUAGGAUGUUGACUGAUAUGUAGUCGUA
RNAcentral lists this ribosomal RNA (774 nucleotides) under uncultured Neocallimastigales. Its description in RNAcentral is "partial large subunit ribosomal RNA". It matches the Rfam family "Eukaryotic large subunit ribosomal RNA", at positions 18 to 644 of the family's 3401-position model. The record is from RNAcentral. Lineage: Eukaryota; Fungi; Neocallimastigomycota; Neocallimastigomycetes; Neocallimastigales.